AGAGUUUGAUCCUGGCUCAGAGCGAACGCUGGCGGCGUGCUUAACACAUGCAAGUCGAACGCGCAGCAUUCUGUAGCAAUACAGGAUGUGGGCGCGUGGCGGACGGGUGCGUAACACGUGGAUAACCUUCCUUGAGGUGGGGAAUAACCCAGUGAAAAUUGGGCUAAUACCGCAUAACAUCGCGAUGGCACAUGCUGAUGCGAUCAAAGGCGCAAGUCGCCACAAGAGGGAUCCGCGGCCGAUUAGCUUGUUGGCGAGGUAAUGGCUCACCAAGGCAAUGAUCGGUAGCCGGACUGAGAGGUUGGCCGGCCACACUGGAACUGAGACACGGUCCAGACUCCUACGGGAGGCAGCAGUGGGGAAUCUUGCACAAUGGACGAAAGUCUGAUGCAGCAACGCCGCGUGGGGGAUGAAGCUUCUCGGAGUGUAAACCCCUUUCGACCCGGAAGAAUGCCCGCAAGGGUAUGACGGUACGGGUAUAAGAAGCCCCGGCUAACUACGUGCCAGCAGCCGCGGUAAUACGUAGGGGGCCAGCGUUGCUCGGAAUUACUGGGCGUAAAGGGUCCGUAGGCGGUGUAGCAAGUCGAUAGUGAAAUCUCUGCGCUUAACGCAGAGGCUGCUAACGAAACUGCUGUGCUAGAGUGUGAGAGAGGCGAGUGGAAUUACGGGUGUAGCGGUGAAAUGCGUAGAUAUCCGUAGGAACAUCCGAGGCGAAAGCGGCUCGCUGGAUCACAACUGACGCUGAGGGACGAAAGCUAGGGGAGCAAACAGGAUUAGAUACCCUGAUAGUCCUAGCCCUAAACCAUCAGACUUGGGGUUUGCCCUGUACGGGGCAAGUCCCGUAGCUAACGCGUUAAGUCCUGCGCCUGGGGAGUACGGUCGCAAGGCUGAAACUCAAGGAAUUGACGGGGGCCCGCACAGGCGGUGGAACAUGUGGUUCAAUUCGACGCAACGC
RNAcentral lists this ribosomal RNA (955 nucleotides) under uncultured bacterium. Its description in RNAcentral is "bacterial SSU rRNA". It matches the Rfam family "Bacterial small subunit ribosomal RNA", at positions 8 to 962 of the family's 1533-position model. The record is from RNAcentral.